CGGGGUUGAAGAGAAGCCUGGACUCCCAACUGAACGUGGUUCCAUUUCACUUUUGUUACAACAGAUCGAUAGUUGCAUUUCAAGCUAUUUAAGGAGAAGGAGAAGUAUGAAAGGGGAACGUGAUGACAAUGGGGAGGAAGAGGAAGAGGAGCAGGAGGAAGAGGGCCUGGUCUGUGUAAACGGAUAGCAGCAAAACUGCCAUGUUAAGUGAAAGAGAGAACCACACUGACCUCGCAGCAACAUUUCGCUUCAUAAAUAUAAAAACGAUAGAAAUACAUCAACAGGUAAACAAACAACAAAAGUCCACUUCAGUAGUGAUAAUGAAUGACAGGUAGCCAGUCCACUUCAGUAGUGAUAAUGAAUGACAGGUAGCCAGUCCACUUCAGUAGUGAUAAUGAACGACAAGUAGCCAGUCCACUUCAGUAGUGAUAAUGAAUGACAGGUAGCCAGUCCACUUCAAUAGUGAUAAUGAACGACAGGUAGCCAGUCCACUUCAGUAGUGAUAAUGAACGACAAGUAGCCAGUCCACUUCAAUAGUGAUAAUG
Long non-coding RNA from Oncorhynchus tshawytscha (Chinook salmon), 545 nucleotides. The record is from Ensembl. Lineage: Eukaryota; Metazoa; Chordata; Actinopteri; Salmoniformes; Salmonidae.